AUACAGCUAUUUUUUGGUUGCUUGUGAAGAAAACUUUUAAUGUUUUAGGUAAAAGCUCUAUCAAUUCAUUGGACGGGCAAGAUUUUCUCGCGGAACUGGGGUGUUUUCCAGACUUUAUUAUGAUUGCCACUCCGAUCUGCUACAAUACAAAUUAAUAGAAAGGAAAAAAGCUACUGUUCCCGCUGAUUACCUUUACUUGUAUAUAUUUGUGCAGAACUCAAUGACACUUCCAUGCUUAAUAUACCGUA
This 248-nucleotide long non-coding RNA is filed under the name Mytilus galloprovincialis (Mediterranean mussel). The record is from RNAcentral. Lineage: Eukaryota; Metazoa; Mollusca; Bivalvia; Mytilida; Mytilidae.